This 1189-nucleotide ribosomal RNA is filed under the name Rhynchocypris oxycephala (Chinese minnow). RNAcentral's name for it is "Phoxinus oxycephalus (Chinese minnow) partial 16S ribosomal RNA". It matches the Rfam family "Bacterial large subunit ribosomal RNA", at positions 724 to 2556 of the family's 2925-position model. Lineage: Eukaryota; Metazoa; Chordata; Actinopteri; Cypriniformes; Leuciscidae. The record is from RNAcentral.
GGUGAGCUACCCCGAGACAGCCUAUGUUAAUUUAGGGCUAACCCGUCUCUGUGGCAAAAGAGUGGGAAGAGCUCCGGGUAGAAGUGAAAGACCUACCGAACCUGGUGAUAGCUGGUUGACUGAGAAAUGGAUAGAAGUUCAGCCUCACACACCCCAAACCAAAAAGUAUUAUCACUAAGAUACUUAGGGAAAAAUGCGAGAGUUAGUUGAAAGGGGUACAGCCCUUUUAACAAAGGAUACAACCUUAGCAGGAGGAUAAAGAUCAUAAUAUAUAAGACAUACUGUUCUAGUGGGCCUGAAAGCAGCCACCUAAGCAGAAAGCGUUAAAGCUCGGACAGAAAGAAGUUUAUUAUACAGAUAAAAAGUCUUAUUCCCCUAACUAUAUCAGACCAACCCAUGCCCGCAUGGAAGAGAUUAUGCUAAAAUGAGUAAUAAGAAGACCCGCUCUUCUCCCAGCACAAGUGUAAACCAGAUCGGACUAACCACUGGAACUUAACGAACCCAACCCAAGAGGGUAGUGUGAUUAACAAAAAACUCAAGAAGGACUCACAUUAACUAAUCGUUAACCCCACACUGGAGUGCUAUUUUAAGGGAAAGACUAAAAGAGGGGGAAGGAACUCGGCAAACACAAGCCUCGCCUGUUUACCAAAAACAUCGCCUCCUGCAACUAAACUGAGUAUAGGAGGUCCAGCCUGCCCAGUGACUACGGGUUCAACGGCCGCGGUAUCUUGACCGUGCAAAGGUAGCGCAAUCACUUGUCUCUUAAAUAGAGACCUGUAUGAAUGGCUAGACGAGGGCUUAACUGUCUCCCCCCUCCGGUCAGUGAAAUUGAUCUAUCCGUGCAGAAGCGGGUAUAAAUAUACAAGACGAGAAGACCCUUUGGAGCUUAAGGUACAAGAUACAACCACGUUAAACAACUCUGUGAGAAGCAAGAACUUAGUGGUGAUGAAUUUUUACCUUCGGUUGGGGCGACCGCGGAGGAAAAACAAGCCUCCGAGUGGACUGGGCCUAUCCCCUGAAGCCGAUAGAGACAUCUAUGGGCCACAGAACAUCUGACCAAAAAUGAUCCGGCUAAAAGCCGACCAACGGACCAAGUUACCCAAGGGAUAACAGCGCAAUCCCCUCCCAGAGCCCAUAUCUACGAGGGGGUUUACGACCUCGAUGUUGGAUCAGGACAUCCUAAUGGUGC